AAGGAACACCUGGAUGAAAGCUUCAGUCAGAAGCAUCCAGAACAUCCAGAACAUCCAGAACCAGAGGAAUCCUGAGAACAUCAUCGGUUCACUAACUGCAGCAUGAAUGCAUGAAUCUGCAGAAAGAAAGAGCGUCCGGCGAUGGCGGCGGCGGCCUCCUCAGCAGACGGCAGCUCUAAUCUCAUUCAUUAUGAAGCCGUGUGCUGCUGGCGGCGCCUCUGGAGAGGACUUCACCCAGUACUGGCAUCUGUUCAGCUGCAGCGCGGCGAGGAGAAAGCAAGGACGUCUCUGACUC
RNAcentral lists this long non-coding RNA (295 nucleotides) under Oryzias javanicus (javanese ricefish). RNAcentral's name for it is "lncRNA (ENSOJAG00000015655.1)". The record is from RNAcentral. Lineage: Eukaryota; Metazoa; Chordata; Actinopteri; Beloniformes; Adrianichthyidae.